CCUACGGGGGACAGCAGUGAGGAAUAUUGGUCAAUGGACGAGAGUCUGAACCAGCCAAGUAGCGUGAAGGAUGACUGCCCUAUGGGUUGUAAACUUCUUUUAUAUGGGAAUAAAACGUUCCACGUGUGGGAUUUUGUAUGUACCAUAUGAAUAAGGAUCGGCUAACUCCGUGCCAGCAGCCGCGGUAAUACGGAGGAUCCGAGCGUUAUCCGGAUUUAUUGGGGUUAAAGGGAGCGUAGGUGGAUUGUUAAGUCAGUUGUGAAAGUUUGCGGCUCAACCGUAAAAUUGCAGUUGAAACUGGCAGUCUUGAGUACAGUAGAGGUGGGCGGAAUUCGUGGUGUAGCGGUGAAAUGCUUAGAUAUCACGAAGAACUCCGAUUGCGAAGGCAGUUCACUGGACUGCAACUGACACUGAGGCUCGAAAGUGUGGGUAUCAAACAGGAUGAGAUACCCCUGUAGUC
Molecule: ribosomal RNA, 460 nt
Filed under: uncultured bacterium
Lineage: Bacteria
Description: partial 16S ribosomal RNA
Rfam family: Bacterial small subunit ribosomal RNA
Source: RNAcentral